GACGAACGCUGGCGGCGUGCUUAACACAUGCAAGUCGAACGGAAAGGCCCUGCUUUUGUGGGGCGCUCGAGUGGCGAACGGGUGAGUAACACGUGAGUAACCUGCCCUUGACUUUGGGAUAACUUCAGGAAACUGGGGCUAAUACCGGAUAGGAGCUCCUGCUGCAUGGUGGGGGUUGGAAAGUUUCGGCGGGUGGGGAUGGACUCGCGGCUUAUCAGCUUGUUGGUGGGGUAGUGGCUUACCAAGGCUUUGACGGGUAGCCGGCCUGGGAGGGUGACCGGCCACAUUGGGACUGGGAUCCGGCCCAGACUCCUACGGGAGGCAGCAGUGGGGAAUAUUGCACAAUGGGCGGAAGCCUGAUGCAGCAACGCCGCGUGCGGGAUAACGGCCUUCGGGUUGUAAACCGCUUUCGCCUGUGACGAAGCGUGAGUGACGGUAAUGGGUAAAGAAGCACCGGCUAACUACGUG
Molecule: ribosomal RNA, 468 nt
Filed under: uncultured bacterium
Lineage: Bacteria
Description: partial 16S ribosomal RNA
Rfam family: Bacterial small subunit ribosomal RNA
Source: RNAcentral